Molecule: non-coding RNA, 165 nt
Filed under: Geminigera cryophila
Lineage: Eukaryota; Cryptophyceae; Pyrenomonadales; Geminigeraceae
Source: RNAcentral
GGUCACUGAAUAUUCAUUUGUAGCUAUCCUUCAGUAUUCAUUCAGCUAAACAUUGUUUGCAGAUACAAAUAGAGAGUCAUAGCAUCUAUCAAUAUAUAUACACAUAUGUAUAUAUUUAUGUAUAUAUCUUUACUUGUGUAGGCGUGAGCCUGUUAAAUGAAAAAA